GGAGAUGGUUAAGGGGGGCUAGCUACGACACCUGUCACUUCAUUGAUUACCAGAGUUGAUUUGGGUGAUCUAGAUGCUCAGGUGAGUGUCCUCUUCCUACCACAUUAUUCCAAAUGCAUCCCUCCUGAAAUGUCAUGUUCCAUGGAAGAGAGUGACCAUUUCAAAUAGAAGAAAUAUAUCAUUCUUCAAUUUU
RNAcentral lists this small nuclear RNA (193 nucleotides) under Anolis carolinensis (green anole). Its description in RNAcentral is "7SK RNA". It matches the Rfam family "7SK RNA". Rfam says of the family: 7SK was discovered as an abundant small nuclear RNA in the mid-70s but a possible function has only recently been suggested. Lineage: Eukaryota; Metazoa; Chordata; Lepidosauria; Squamata; Anolidae. The record is from Rfam by way of RNAcentral.